UGGGGUGUAGCUCAGUGGUAGAAUGCUUGCCUAGUGUGCAUGGGGCCCUGCGUUCAAUCCCCAGCACCACAA
This 72-nucleotide transfer RNA is filed under the name Fukomys damarensis (Damara mole-rat). It matches the Rfam family "tRNA". Rfam says of the family: Transfer RNA (tRNA) molecules are approximately 80 nucleotides in length. Their secondary structure includes four short double-helical elements and three loops (D, anti-codon, and T loops). Further hydrogen bonds mediate the characteristic L-shaped molecular structure. tRNAs have two regions of fundamental functional importance: the anti-codon, which is responsible for specific mRNA codon recognition, and the 3' end, to which the tRNAs corresponding amino acid is attached (by aminoacyl-tRNA synthetases). tRNAs cope with the degeneracy of the genetic code in two manners: having more than one tRNA (with a specific anti-codon) for a particular amino acid; and 'wobble' base-pairing, i.e. permitting non-standard base-pairing at the 3rd anti-codon position. Lineage: Eukaryota; Metazoa; Chordata; Mammalia; Rodentia; Bathyergidae. The record is from Rfam by way of RNAcentral.